Molecule: long non-coding RNA, 208 nt
Filed under: Amborella trichopoda
Lineage: Eukaryota; Viridiplantae; Streptophyta; Magnoliopsida; Amborellales; Amborellaceae
Description: long non-coding RNA (ATRI_LNC004031)
Source: RNAcentral
UUUGUUUUGAACUUUGUACCUAACCAACGUCACAUCCUCAACCAUCCAAUUUCAAAUGGUCGAUGAAGAUUAUGACCUCCUUAUAUCAAAAGCAAAUGGCCUCAUUGUAAACAUUUCCAAUGUAAAAAUAUUAGUUUCCUCAGCUUCACUCCUUGGUAGUAGAGGCUGUAGUGACAAAACUCUCUCUCUCUCUCUCUCUCUCUCUAUN